GAUGAACGCUGGCGGCGUGCCUAAUACAUGCAAGUCGAGCGAACGGACGAGAAGCUUGCUUCUCUGAUGUUAGCGGCGGACGGGUGAGUAACACGUGGAUAACCUACCUAUAAGACUGGGAUAACUUCGGGAAACCGGAGCUAAUACCGGAUAAUAUUUUGAACCGCAUGGUUCAAAAGUGAAAGACGGUCUUGCUGUCACUUAUAGAUGGAUCCGCGCUGCAUUAGCUAGUUGGUAAGGUAACGGCUUACCAAGGCAACGAUGCAUAGCCGACCUGAGAGGGGGAUCGGCCAACCUGGAACUGAGACACGGCCCAGACCCCUAGGGGGGGCAGCGGGGGGGAAGUUUCCGCAAUGGGCGAAACCCUGACGGAGCAACGCCGCGGGGGGGAUGAAGGUCUUCGGAUCGUAAAACCUUGUUAUUAGGGAAAAACAUUUGUGUAAGUAACUGUGCACAUCUUGACGGUCCCUAUUAAAAAAGCCCCGGCUAACUCCGU
RNAcentral lists this ribosomal RNA (496 nucleotides) under uncultured bacterium. RNAcentral describes it as "partial 16S ribosomal RNA". It matches the Rfam family "Bacterial small subunit ribosomal RNA", at positions 28 to 506 of the family's 1533-position model. The record is from RNAcentral.